RNAcentral lists this transfer RNA (76 nucleotides) under Clostridiales bacterium. Its description in RNAcentral is "tRNA-Glu". It matches the Rfam family "tRNA". Rfam says of the family: Transfer RNA (tRNA) molecules are approximately 80 nucleotides in length. RNAcentral also lists the same sequence under 2 other names. The record is from RNAcentral. Lineage: Bacteria; Bacillati; Bacillota; Clostridia; Eubacteriales.
GGCCUCAUCGUCUAGUAGGUUAGGACACCGCCCUUUCACGGCGACAGUAGGGGUUCGAAUCCCCUUGAGGUCACCA